This 888-nucleotide ribosomal RNA is filed under the name uncultured marine bacterium. RNAcentral's name for it is "bacterial SSU rRNA". It matches the Rfam family "Bacterial small subunit ribosomal RNA", at positions 509 to 1397 of the family's 1533-position model. The record is from RNAcentral.
CAGCAGCCGCGGUAAUACGAGGGGGGCAAGCGUUGUUCGGAAUUACUGGGCGUAAAGGGCGCGUAGGCGGUCUGACAAGUCUUCCGUGAAAGCCCACGGCUCAACCGUGGAACUGCGGGGGAAACUGCCAGACUUGAGUCCGGGAGGGGAGAGUGGAAUUCCCAGUGUAGCGGUGAAAUGCGCAGAUAUUGGGAGGAACACCGGAGGCGAAGGCGUCUCUCUGGACCGGUACUGACGCUGAGGCGCGAAAGCCAGGGGAGCGAACGGGAUUAGAUACCCUGGUAGUCCACGCCGUAAACGAUGAGUGCUAAGUGUUAGGGGGUUUCCGCCCCUUAGUGCUGCAGCUAACGCAUUAAGCACUCCGCCUGGGGAGUACGGCCGCAAGACUGAAACUCAAAGGAAUUGACGGGGGCCCGCACAAGCGGUGGAGCAUGUGGUUUAAUUCGAAGCAACGCGAAGAGCCUUACCAGGUCUUGACAUCCUCUGACAAUCCUAGAGAUAGGACGUCCCCUUCGGGGGCAGAGUGACAGGUGGUGCAUGGUUGUCGUCAGCUCGUGUCGUGAGAUGUUGGGUUAAGUCCCGCAACGAGCGCAACCCUUGAUCUUAGUUGCCAGCAUUCAGUUGGGCACUCUAAGGUGACUGCCGGUGACAAACCGGAGGAAGGUGGGGAUGACGUCAAAUCAUCAUGCCCCUUAUGACCUGGGCUACACACGUGCUACAAUGGACAGAACAAAGGGCAGCGAAACCGCGAGGUUAAGCCAAUCCCACAAAUCUGUUCUCAGUUCGGAUCGCAGUCUGCAACUCGACUGCGCGAAGCUGGAAUCGCUAGUAAUCGCGGAUCAGCAUGCUGCGGUGAAUACGUUCCCGGGCCUUGUACACACCGCCCGU